GAGUUUUAUCUUGUUUAGAUAAGUGGAGGAUAAUAAUGCAGCCAUGCACUUGAUAUCCGCUAUAGCUGAAGCUUUAGGCCACGAAAUCAGUGAAUAUGCUAUUAAUAGGAGAACAAUACAGCGGCUGCGAGAAGAUAACCGACAAACAAUAUCUCUGUCGGCAAAACAAAACUGUCAAAAUUUGAUGUCAGCAGUGGUUCAUUGGGAUGGUAAAAUUCUUUCUGAACUGACUGGGCACGGCAAAGUUGAACGAUUGCCAAUCAUUAUUUCACAUAUUGAAGGCGAACAACUUCUGGGAGUGCCAAAAUUAAGUGCAUCUUAAUGACCGAAUGGGGAAUAGUUGAUAAAAUAAAAACAGCCUGUUUUGAUACAACUGCA
Molecule: long non-coding RNA, 378 nt
Organism: Drosophila miranda
Lineage: Eukaryota; Metazoa; Arthropoda; Insecta; Diptera; Drosophilidae
Exons: 2
Source: RefSeq, a predicted model, not a curated record